GAUGAAGAACGUAGCGAAAUGCGAUACUUGGUGUGAAUUGCAGAAUCCCGUGAACCAUCGAGUCUUUGAACGCAAGUUGCGCCCGAAGCCACUAGGCCGAGGGCACGCCUGCCUGGGCGUCACACGCCGUUGCCCCCCCAUCUACUCCUUCGGGAUUGCGGGGGGGCGGAUGAUGGCCUCCCGUGCGCCUAGCCGCGCGGUUGGCAUAAUUACCAAGUCCUCGGCGACGCACGCCACGACAAUCGGUGGUUGCGAAACCUCGGUUGCCCGUCGUGUGCGUUCGUCGCGCAUCGAGGGCUCGAAAAAAUGCUCGGCUCCGGCUGGGCUUUCAACGCGACCCCAGGUCAGGCGGGGUUACCCGCUGAAUUUAAGCAUAUCAAUAAGCGGAGGA
RNAcentral lists this unclassified non-coding RNA (391 nucleotides) under soil metagenome. Its description in RNAcentral is "partial contains 5.8S ribosomal RNA, internal transcribed spacer 2, and large subunit ribosomal RNA". The stretch from base 1 to 122 matches the Rfam family "5.8S ribosomal RNA", at positions 35 to 154 of the family's 154-position model. The record is from RNAcentral.